This is a long non-coding RNA of Cucurbita maxima (winter squash), 109 nucleotides long. RefSeq lists it as uncharacterized. The transcript has 3 exons. The record is from RefSeq and is a predicted model, not a curated record. NCBI's taxonomy places the organism in Eukaryota, Viridiplantae, Streptophyta, Magnoliopsida, Cucurbitales, Cucurbitaceae.
AUCCAACAAUUGGAAAUAAGAACAAAACAUUCUCUAUAAGUGUAUGGAAAUCACUCCCUAGCAGACACGUUUUAAAAACCUUAAGGGGAAGCCAGAAAGAGAAAACUCA